This 2519-nucleotide long non-coding RNA is filed under the name Zea mays. RNAcentral's name for it is "long non-coding RNA (ZMAY_LNC003760)". Lineage: Eukaryota; Viridiplantae; Streptophyta; Magnoliopsida; Poales; Poaceae. The record is from RNAcentral.
AGCCCUCUUCCCCCUCAAUAGCGCGCGAGUCUGGCGGGCGCACUGAUUUCUCCGGGAUGGGAUCGUGGCCGGAAUUCUCUCCUCCUCACAGUAUAAUGCGUGUGUGCCCCGCGCUAGCCCCAAUCCAUCCACGCCCUGAAUUGUAGGCUCGUGCGCUCACGGCCAGAGAGGAGCACCACCAGAUAUCGUCGUGAACGCGCAGCGGAUGUAGCCUCGAAUUUGUUCAUCUUGGGCGUGGAAUCUCGUCGCAGAGCUUCCCUUGGGCUUGCCGAAACGAUUUGGGGCAUCUCCGUGCGGGAUUGGCGACCGGAGCGACGGGGAUUUCUCGCCGGGGUCGCUGCAUCGCUGUUGAGCCGCGCCAAUGCGUGGGCAGAGCCACCGCCUGCCCGAAUUGAGGUAACAAAACCGCCAUCUAGUUCGCCUUUCCAGUUGCAUCGUGUAUCGCGGUCCAAAUCACGACUUCGGGCACGGGAGCGCGUAGUUGCUAGCCUCUGCCAUGGCUCCGCCGUGGAGCUCGGGCACGGCCACCGCCGUCUCCUGGCCGCGGAGUAGAAGACAAGAUUCGUGCCGUCCGAUCGGGAUUGACGGGCGUAGAUUAGAUCACGUGAGAAAGUACACCGGACCGUUGGAUUUGGAUCCAAUAGCGUGGAUUAGAUCAUGGGAUUGGGGAAAUUGGACCGUGGAUCUCAGAUCCAACCGCUCUGGUCGCGUACCGUUUCAGUUUAUGGAGGAUAUAAUCCGGGCCCUCGGUUCUGGAUCUAGCGGCCAGAAGUCACCCGUACCCCUUCGUCCGCGACAGUUUUGCACAUAAGACCCUCUGUUUUAGGAAAACGAACCCGCCGUCCAUGCAGAGGUAGUUCUGAGUCUUGGAAAUAUUUGCACCAUAGACCCUGGACUCUCUGGAAAUUGAUUCGAGGUCCAGACAGUGAAUUAUAUUCAUAAAAUCAGUUAGAAAAUGAAUUUUAGUUUUAAAUUUAUUGCAGAAACUUGAUAAAUUUAUAGAAAAUUCAUACUUGGUCCAAAUUAAUCCAUUCUAGUUUCUAAAAUUUUGUAAUAUUAUUCUCUAUCACUAAAAGUCUCUGUUUUGACAUGAAAACAGUAAGAAAAUUAAUUUCCCAUUUAAUCCUAUUUUAAGCACAUAAAACCUUUAGAAAUUCAUAUCUUAAAAUCUAUAACUCCAAAAAUAACGAUUCAUGUUCCUAGGAUUUUAUUUUAAUGUGUAGUUUACGUUUAUAUAUUUUGUUUACAUGUUUGGUGUGAUGUUAAUAUUCUCAAUACAUUGUGCUUGUUUGUAUUGUGGCGAGUAGAAGAACCUGUGACUUAGGAUCCUGGUGACCAGCAGAUAGAAGUAGCUGAGCAGGAGCUCAUUGAAGGCAAGUUGUGCCCUUGACCACUUUUUACCCAAUAAUGUUCUUUAAUACCACUUAUUCAUGCAUAGGUUUAAUUUUGAUGGGACUCGAUAGGUCACCCUAGACUGUUUAUCUCUUUACCUUGUUAUCCCGGAAUCACAUGGGUAGUUUUGCUAUUGCUUUACAUGGUUUUGGGAUAAUCUUUCAUUAUAUCCAUGUUCCAGUUAUUUUGUUAUUCUAUUUAUGUUCAUGUCAAGAUCAUUAAUGUUAAUUGGAACAUGAAGCUUAACUUGAGAAACACGUGCCGCCACAAGGGUAGUAUGGAAUGCCCUUGGCUGACUAAUUAGGAAAGCUAGUGGAAGACUAUCUUACCCAAAAGGGGCAAGGGCAGUAGGGGAGUUGCAUGCAAGAAGGUUCUCGGGUUGAUUUUGCUGCGAUGGCAGUCAGACAGGAGAUUCUUGCAAGUGCUCUUCCCAUAAACUGUAGCGGGUUUUCGGAAGCUAGUGGAACUUUGUAAAGGCCUCAUAGUGUUGCCCUGCCUCGCUUCCUUGGUAGAGGUGUAUGGGAGUCGCGAUCCCUUGGCAGAUGGGUAAUAUGACUUGUGGGUACAGGGUACAACCUCUGCAGAGUGUAAAACUUGUAUACUAGCCGUGCUCGCGGUCAUGAGUAGCUCAGGACUCUCGCAUGAUUAAUUUAUGGAACUUAAAUUCAAUUUGACAUUUGCAUGGGAUUAUUUAUUAAUUUUGUUCUAUUACUUUUAUUAUGGUUUGGUAUUUACUUACAUUUAGUAACUGCUAAUAAAAUUUUGACCAACUAAUUAAAAGCAAUGCUCAGCUUUAACCCCUGUUGUUGAUUAGCCUUACCCAUCACAUGAACUUCCACAUUUGGUGAGUUCAUGCCCACUGGUUUCCCCACAACUUGUUGAGCUAUGAUCAUGUGUGAGCUCACCCUUGCUGUCUCAGAACCCCCCACACAGGAGAAGAACAGGUGGUUCAGGAGGAGCCACAAAGCGAGGAGUUUGAUCUGAUCUAGGUGGUGUUUCCCAGUUGACUUGCGCUAAGGAUGAUCCUUAGUUCAUUUUAUAUUUAUCUUUUAUUUUGUAAUAAGACUUCCGCUAUGUAAUAAAUACUCUGAUGUUAUUGUGAUAUUUAUCUCUGUACACUCUGUUAU